This 504-nucleotide long non-coding RNA is filed under the name Dromaius novaehollandiae (emu). Its description in RNAcentral is "lncRNA (ENSDNVG00000003422.1)". The record is from RNAcentral. Lineage: Eukaryota; Metazoa; Chordata; Aves; Casuariiformes; Dromaiidae.
UCACACAGGCUGAAAGAAAUCUUUGAACUUCGACCAGCUGACACAGGGGCUGCAUAUUGUGCAGAGCUCAAACAUAUGAACAAAAACUAACUACAUGUGGGGGCUUCACUUGCAUAACAUGCAGAUUUUCAAACAGAUGUCUUAACAAGAAAAAAUCCCUCUCUGCUUGCUACUGUGUGAAGGCGAAGCACUUGCAAAGUAUCUGCAAGGAAGGCUGUCUGGGCUUUGUAAGCGGGUGAAAAGAAAAUGUGCUGCAAAGUGUACUUCUGAUGAGACUGAUGGUGAAUGUGCUUCAGCGAGCCACAAAAGACCACGUAACACAUUUGCUUUGACCUAAGCUUCAGACAAUAUUCUGAUCCGGUAAGUACUAAAAUAGAAAAGGUAAUCUAAAAUGUAUGUAUAUGCGAUGAAUGUAUUAAACUACACAUACAAGUAGAGUUGAUAAGUAGGAUUGACUUAUGAUGAUCGGCAAUUCUUAAAGGGUGCCUAAUGAUCCCCUCUGGG